GGUGGCUCAGUGCUAGAGCACUUGCCUUGCAUGCACGAGGUCCUGGGUUCGAUUCCUCAGCACCA
This 65-nucleotide transfer RNA is filed under the name Dipodomys ordii (Ord's kangaroo rat). It matches the Rfam family "tRNA". From Rfam's summary of the family: Transfer RNA (tRNA) molecules are approximately 80 nucleotides in length. Their secondary structure includes four short double-helical elements and three loops (D, anti-codon, and T loops). Further hydrogen bonds mediate the characteristic L-shaped molecular structure. tRNAs have two regions of fundamental functional importance: the anti-codon, which is responsible for specific mRNA codon recognition, and the 3' end, to which the tRNAs corresponding amino acid is attached (by aminoacyl-tRNA synthetases). tRNAs cope with the degeneracy of the genetic code in two manners: having more than one tRNA (with a specific anti-codon) for a particular amino acid; and 'wobble' base-pairing, i.e. permitting non-standard base-pairing at the 3rd anti-codon position. The record is from Rfam by way of RNAcentral. Lineage: Eukaryota; Metazoa; Chordata; Mammalia; Rodentia; Heteromyidae.